UAAUUAGAGGUGGKCMKGGUCRGGGAGAACGCGGCGGMGUGCCUUAAUACAUGCAAGUCGAACGAASUCUGGKAGUGAUUGGUGCCUGCAUCAUGAUUKACAUKUGAGUGAGGGGCGAACUGGUGAGUAACACGUGGGAAACCUGCCCAGAAGCGGGGGAUAACACCUGGAAACAGAUGCUAAUACCGCAUAACAACUUGGACCGCAUGGUCCGAGUUUGAAAGAUGGCUUCGGCUAUCACUUUUGGAUGGUCCCGCGGCGUAUUAGCUAGAUGGUGRGGUAACGGCUCACCAUGGCAAUGAUACGUAGCCGACCUGAGAGGGUAAUCGGCCACAUUGGGACUGAGACACGGCCCAAACUCCUACGGGAGGCAGCAGUAGGGAAUCUUCCACAAUGGACGAAAGUCUGAUGGAGCAACGCCGCGUGAGUGAAGAAGGGUUUCGGCUCGUAAAACUCUGUUGUUAAAGAAGAACAUAUCUGAGAGUAACUGUUCAGGUAUUGACGGUAUUUAACCAGAAAGCCACGGCUAACUACGUGCCAGCAGCCGCGGUAAUACGUAGGUGGCAAGCGUUGUCCGGAUUUAUUGGGCGUAAAGCGAGCGCAGGCGGUUUUUUAAGUCUGAUGUGAAAGCCUUCGGCUCAACCGAAGAAGUGCAUCGGAAACUGGGAAACUUGAGUGCAGAAGAGGACAGUGGAACUCCAUGUGUAGCGGUGAAAUGCGUAGAUAUAUGGAAGAACACCAGUGGCGAAGGCGGCUGUCUGGUCUGUAACKACGCGAGGUCGAAAG
RNAcentral lists this ribosomal RNA (786 nucleotides) under bacterium. RNAcentral's name for it is "bacterial SSU rRNA". The record is from RNAcentral.